Non-coding RNA from Procambarus clarkii (red swamp crayfish), 373 nucleotides. NCBI's taxonomy places the organism in Eukaryota, Metazoa, Arthropoda, Malacostraca, Decapoda, Cambaridae. The record is from RefSeq and is a predicted model, not a curated record.
GUAUAUCUUUCUUGUCUCAGUAAACAUACUUGAACUUGUACACGGAUCAAGACAGCCACUAAGAAGUGACGUGGUCAUCACACACAUCCUAAAUAUUGUUCUGCCUGUCGUUCAAAACUUCUCAAUUUCUAAAUCAAGUUGUUUCCGCCUCACAUUUCAACCAUAGAUGAGUUAUAACCCUUCACCUUCCUCAUGUUGUGCCCGUGAGAGAUAUAUUGGUGAGGGACAUGUGGGGUCACAUGACACAGGUCACAAUGUGGGGUCACAUGACACAGGUCACAAUGUGGGGUCACAUGACACAGGUCACAAUGUGGGGUCAGGUGACACAGGUCACAAUGUGGGGUCACGUGACACAGGUCACAAUGUGGGGUCA